UGGGGAAUAUUGGACAAUGGGCGCAAGCCUGAUCCAGCCAUGCCGCGUGAGUGAUGAAGGCCCUAGGGUUGUAAAGCUCUUUUGUGCGGGAAGAUAAUGACGGUACCGCAAGAAUAAGCCCCGGCUAACUUCGUGCCAGCAGCCGCGGUAAUACGAAGGGGGCUAGCGUUGCUCGGAAUCACUGGGCGUAAAGGGUGCGUAGGCGGAUCUUUAAGUCAGGGGUGAAAUCCUGGAGCUCAACUCCAGAACUGCCUUUGAUACUGAGGAUCUCGAGUUCGGGAGAGGUGAGUGGAACUGCGAGUGUAGAGGUGAAAUUCGUAGAUAUCGGGAGGAACACCAGUGGCGAAGGCGGAGACCUGGGCCAAUACUGACGCUGAGGUGCGAAAGCGUGGGGAGCAAAC
Molecule: ribosomal RNA, 401 nt
Filed under: uncultured bacterium
Lineage: Bacteria
Description: bacterial SSU rRNA
Rfam family: Bacterial small subunit ribosomal RNA
Source: RNAcentral